Molecule: ribosomal RNA, 500 nt
Filed under: uncultured bacterium
Lineage: Bacteria
Description: partial 16S ribosomal RNA
Rfam family: Bacterial small subunit ribosomal RNA
Source: RNAcentral
AUUGAACGCUGGCGGAAUGCUUUACACAUGCAAGUCGAACGGCAGCACGGACUUCGGUCUGGUGGCGAGUGGCGAACGGGUGAGUAAUGUAUCGGAACGUGCCCAGUCGUGGGGGAUAACGUAGUGAAAAUUACGCUAAUACCUCAUACGAUCUAUGGAUGAAAGCGGGGGAUCGCAAGACCGCGCGCGAUUGGAGCGGCCGAUAUCAGAUUAGGUAGUUGGUGGGGGAAAGGCCCACCAAGCCAACGGUCUGUAGCUGGUCUGAGAGGACGACCAGCCACACUGGAACUGAGCCACGGUCCAGACUCCUACGGGAGGCAGCAGUGGGGAAUUUUGGACACUGGGCGAAAGCCUGAUCCAGCCAUUCCGCGUGCAGGAUGAAGGCCCUCGGGUUGUAAACUGCUUUUGUACAGAACGAAAAGGUUUCUACUAAUACUAGGAGCUCAUGACGGUACUGUAAGCAUAAGCACCGGCUAACUACGUGCCAGCCGCCGCCGUAA